RNAcentral lists this unclassified non-coding RNA (334 nucleotides) under soil metagenome. RNAcentral describes it as "partial contains 5.8S ribosomal RNA, internal transcribed spacer 2, and large subunit ribosomal RNA". The stretch from base 1 to 120 matches the Rfam family "5.8S ribosomal RNA", at positions 35 to 154 of the family's 154-position model. The record is from RNAcentral.
GAUGAAGAACGUAGCGAAAUGCGAUAAGUAAUGUGAAUUGCAGAAUUCAGUGAAUCAUCGAAUCUUUGAACGCACAUUGCGCCCGCCAGUAUUCUGGCGGGCAUGCCUGUUCGAGCGUCAUUUCAACCAUCAAGCCCCGGGCUUGUGUUGGGGACCUGCGGCUGCCGCAGGCCCUGAAAUGCAGUGGCGGGCUCGCUGUCACUCCGAGCGUAGUAGUUACAUCUCGCUCUGGGCGUGCUGCGGGUUCCGGCCGUUAAAAGCCUUAUUUACCCAAGGUUGACCUCGGAUCAGGUAGGAAGACCCGCUGAACUUAAGCAUUUCAAUAAGCGGAGGA